AUAUCAGUAAGCGGAGGAAAAGAAACUAACAAGGAUUGCCCCAGUAGCGGCGAGUGAACAGGCAAAAGCUCAAAUUGGAAAUCCGGACGGCAUAACGAGUCGUCGGAAUUGUAAUCUAGAGAUCUAACGCGAAGGCAUGGUCCGCGCAUGAGUUCCUUGGAACAGGACGCCGAAGAGGGUGACAGCCCCAUACGCGGUGCGGACCGGUCGUAGCGGAGGACUCCAAGAGUCGGGUUGUUUGGGACUGCAGCCUAAACGGGAGAUAAACUUCUUCUAAAGCUAAAUAUUUAUGGGAGACCGAUAGCGCACAAGUA
Molecule: ribosomal RNA, 314 nt
Filed under: uncultured eukaryote
Lineage: Eukaryota
Description: partial large subunit ribosomal RNA
Rfam family: Eukaryotic large subunit ribosomal RNA
Source: RNAcentral